UUCUCUCCUGAAGAAGUUGAAAUUAAGGCUUGAAGAGGAUUUUCCCUGUGAUCAACAGAGGAAGGAGGUUUUCUGGAUCUGAAUGCUGGCAGCAUCAGGGAGAAGAUCUCGGGACUUACUUGGAUAUCUACUAACUUAAGAUCCUGGCCCUAUUUGAUUUGGACUCCUGAUGUGGAAGACUCUGGUGAGGAAUAUUCCACAUACUGCCAGACAUUACUGAUGUGACACACCUUCCCAGUCUGGGGAGGCUUAUCACGAGAGAGAAAAAUAACAUAUUGGUGAGGAAUUCUUUGGACAGAGCAAUCCAUGAAGCAAAGACAACCAAAAGAGGGCACUUGGUCCUGUAGAGCUCCUUCUAAUUCUACAAUAAUAGUAGCCAACUUGUUUGAAGAGAGAAAAAGGAACACUGAGAAUCAGAGGAAUUUUACACCAUCUACAAACAUUCACUUAACUAUAGGUAUUAUUCUCAUGAUAUUCUUUCUAGUGACCAUGGAGUGAAUGCAGUGCUACAGGAAUUGGACCAUAGCAAAAGGAAAAAACUAAAUGAAUUAUUCAAAGAGAAAUAAAAAUAAUUAGAAAUUCAGUGGAAGAAGAGUGCAUGUGCUUCUUCUGCUAAUUUUCUUUUAUUAUCUAAGGAAAAAUAAUUUUAUAUAUUCCUUAAACAUCUUCCACAAACAUUCCAAUAUAAUAUAGAGUGUUGGUCUUCAAUUUAGGAUGCAUGAAUUCAAAUGGAACAACAAGUUUUAAAUAUCUGUGUGACCUUAAUCUUUCUGUGCUUCAUUCCUUUUCUUUUUUUUUUUUGAAAAAUGUAAUCAGUCAAUUUAGAACAUUAUUCCUUAGUUACAAGAAUCAUAUUCUUCCCUCCCUCCCCUUGCCCCACCCCUUUCUGUAGCCAACAUGCAAUUCCACUGGGUUUGACAUGUGUCCUUGAUCAGAACCUAUUUCCAUGUUGUUGAUGUUUCCAUUAUCAUUCCUCUUUUCUAUGAAAUAUAGUGAUUGCAUUUGGUGACCUCUGAAAUCUAGCUCUUAAUCUAUGAUUAUAUAUACAACUUUUUAAAUAAGAGCAUGGAAAUAUUAGCAUCUUUGGCAACACUAUAUCUUGGAUAGAAUAAGGAAGUAGAAAAUUUUCACAAAGAAUUUAGGGGUGGAGGAAAGAUUUUUUUAAAUGCCAAAUGAUACAAGUUUAAAUGAGAUGAUUUAGCUAUCAACUGAGGCAACUCCAAACUUGUUUAUAAAAAAAAUAACAGGGAAAUGGAUAAAAGUAUGAGCAUCAACACACUAUUUCCAUUUCUAAUAAAGUUUGCCCAGUGUAAAUGAGCCACUUCCAAGUGGAAAAUCAACUAUCUUGGUCAGAAAACACUUGAUUGACUCGACAAAGUUGAAGGAUAUAGUGGCCAGGGCCAAUAUCAAUUUAUAAUUUUAAAAAUUACAUAUACAAUCUUAUGGAAAAAAACUGGUAGGUGAUUGGAAGAUUGGGAAAAGUUUAAAAUAUUAAAGCAGUGGAAGGAAAAUCAGUUAAAUAAGGAAGCUUGAUGCCAAAUUGAUUACUCAGUUAUUUCAGUCAUGUCUUACUUUUGGUGACUUCAUUUUUGGGAUGGAGGGCAAAGAUAGCAGAAAGGUUUCCAUUUCCAUCUCCAGCUCAUUUUACAGAUGAUGCUACUGGGGCAAAAAGGGCAAGUGCCCAGGGUCACAAGUUAGUGUCUAUGACUGGAUUUGAAUUAAGAUCUUCCUGAAUAUAGGUCUAGUAUUGUAUGCUUUGUACUACCUAGCUUUCCCAGAUGAAGAGUGGAUGAUUUCUAAGAUUCUAUCAUGCUAUGAAUGUAAAGUAUACAGAAGAAAUAUUUAUUGAAUUGAAUGGCUUCCUAUAAAUACUGAAAGCAAACCACAGAACUCAUUUAAGUUUAGGUGAUUUUUUACUGGUAAGAUGUGGUAGGAUAUUCAGGGCUUUGUGUUUACGUGAUGGAACAUAUAACCUUAGGUCUUCUGAGAGAUCUGUAUUUUUCAUAUGUAUGAACCAUGACUACUUGUUUUAGAAUGAUGUAGGAAGCAAAAUAUUUUGUAACAAUAUUAUCAGGCAGCUGGACAAUAGGAAUCUUAGGUUUUUGUGGUCUGCUUUGACAGUGGGUAUAACUGGACAUGAGAGAGUCAGUUAUUAAAAUACAAUGGAAGAGGGGAGGCUCUAGAUGCCUUAAUAGAUAAGAGACCAAGGCCCAAAGACAGAAGAUCUUAGGUUCAAAUCUGGCCUCAGACACUUCCUAGCUGUGUGAUCCUGUGCAAGUCACUUCACCCCCAUUGCCUAGCCCUUAGCCCUCUUCUGCCUUAGAACCAAUACGUAGUAUUGAUUCUAAGAUAGAAGGCAAAGGGUCUUUUUCUUUUAAAGAUUCAAUGUCAGGGGUCACUACAGAAUGGAGACCUGUAUCUCUGCAGGAUUUCUGUUCCACCUGAUGCCUGAUUGUUUAAUAUUUGCUUGGAUUGGAGCCUGGAGAGGAAUUGCAUUUGAAAAGGACCUCUGUUGGGUCAUACAGCUUUCAGUCAUCACAUAUCUCUUUGUAGGUGCCAAUGUCAAUUGAGUGCUGUGCAUCACCUUUAUUUGUGAAAAAUGAGUCAGUAUCCCCACAUCACAAACCAACACAAUUUUUGAAAGCAAGUUAAGAGAGUGUUUCUUCAUAUGACAUAUGCUCAAGUUGGAAUAGACCUAAUCAAUUAAUCCCUUUAUUUUUUUUUUAUUUUUCCGUCCCACGUACUAUUUUCCCCUUCUUCUAUAAUCAUCUUUCCAAAGCUAUCCAGCAGAAAGCAACCCACUUCAUUCCUCUCCUUUUCCCCUUGUCAUUGCUAUGGAUAGUUCCUUACCAGCCUUCCUUAGCUCUAGCUAAGGCUCAAGUGCUAUAGAAUCCAAAGAGGAGAGCUUGUGCUCAGUUCCACUACAGCCCCAGACUCAAUGUUUCCUUUCCUGUUUCAGAGAGAAAUGAUAUCAUUUGCUUUAAAGAAAAGGGUAUUGAGUUAGAGAAUGUUAGAUCAAGGUGAGAUCUUGGAGAAUGUCUUUUGCAGUGGUUCCCAAUCUUUGUGAUUAUUAGAACUCUUUUGUAACACCCAGAAAUCAUUCCUCGCACACAUAUGAUAUUUAGGGUUAACAGCUAUGCUCUCUUAUUUCAUUGAGAAAAGACAUGAUGACCAAUAUGGCAUCUUGCUUCAGAAUAACUACAAUAUUCCUGGAGGGACGAUGAUGGAAUAUGCUGUCCUCUACUUGGGAGAGAAUUGGAGGUAAUGAGUAUGGAAAGCUGCAUGUUCUAUCAGGCACCAUUGUUUAAGCUUUUGUAUGUGUGUGUGUGUGUGUGUGUGUGUGUGUGUGUGUGUGUGUGUGUGUGUGUGUGUGUGUGUUUGUGAGAUUAACUUUGGGAAAGAGACAAGCAAGGUAGAAGAUAGGCAGAAUCAUUCUCCCCUCCACCCCAUUAUUAUAGUUCUUUCCUACUUGUGAAAAUCAGCAGUGGAGGGUUAAGAUAUAGGUUUACAGGUAAGCCAGGCACUCCUACCUAAAAAAGCUUCAGAGACCAACGACCUCAAUUCCUACUCUCAUUCUCCUUCAGGAAAAGAAAGAAAUGUAUAGUUGUCACCUAUAGGUGCAAAGCAAAAAAGUUUCCCAGAUCCUUUCCAGGCACCAAUCUAUAGAAAAGGCUGCCAUUUUGUAAAUCCCCCACAGGCUUCCCAUACCAUUCUCCUCACCUGCCUGCCAUGUAUGAUAUAGCUCUUCUCCCUAUGCGGUUUAAAACACAAAGAUAAACCACUGGCCUCAGAAAAAACUCACAUUUAGUAAUGAGAUCUGGCCUUUCCCUUGGAUAUGACAAGUAUAGCACUGGAGCUUGAUAAAUAGUGGGUCUUCUAAGUCUUUUAACUACUCAGUAAUAUUGAUAAUACAAGUAUUAUUACUAUUUUUACAGAGAAAACCAAGUGUCAGAGUGCCUUCUUAUGGUGACAAACCUUGUAAAGUACCAUAGGAAGGAUCUGAAACUAUCUCUCUUGUCUUCAACUCUUUCUGUGGUAUUAUAUCUCUUUGGAGAACUUCAAAUAAUAUAAUAGAGUAAGAGGCUCUUGCCAACAAGCUCAUUCUACCAAUUUUCAAAAUCAGAAAGGAACAGACCCCCUCAUACACACACACAAAAACACACAUACAAAAAAGUGGAAAAUGGAAAAAGAAAAAAAUCUAUCUGAAGAAGCCAUAUUAUUCUAUAAAUUAUUAGUGUCCUCUUUUUCCUUUCCUUUAAGAUGAGACCUUAGGAUUUUAUAUGACUUCUAUUAGUUCCCUACUUAAU
Molecule: long non-coding RNA, 4307 nt
Organism: Monodelphis domestica (gray short-tailed opossum)
Lineage: Eukaryota; Metazoa; Chordata; Mammalia; Didelphimorphia; Didelphidae
Source: RefSeq, a predicted model, not a curated record